RNAcentral lists this transfer RNA (72 nucleotides) under Bos taurus (domestic cattle). It matches the Rfam family "tRNA". Rfam says of the family: Transfer RNA (tRNA) molecules are approximately 80 nucleotides in length. Their secondary structure includes four short double-helical elements and three loops (D, anti-codon, and T loops). RNAcentral also lists the same sequence under 2 other names. The record is from Rfam by way of RNAcentral. Lineage: Eukaryota; Metazoa; Chordata; Mammalia; Artiodactyla; Bovidae.
UCCCUGGUGGCUCAGACAGUAAAGAAUCUGCCUGCAAUGCAGAAGACCUGGGUUCAAUCCCUGGGUCGGGAA